UACGGAGGGUGCGAGCGUCGUUCGGAAUUACUGGGCGUAAAGGGCGCGUAGGCGGCCGUUUGCGUCGGAUGUGAAAGCCCGGGGCUCAACCUCGGAACGGCAUUCGAUACGGGACGGCUAGAGACCGGGAGAGGAGAGUGGAAUAGCCAGUGUAGAGGUGAAAUUCGUAGAUAUUGGCUGGAACACCGGUGGCGAAAGCGGCUCUCUGGCCCGGUUCUGACGCUGAGGCGCGAAAGCGUGGGGAGCAAACAGG
RNAcentral lists this ribosomal RNA (253 nucleotides) under uncultured bacterium. RNAcentral's name for it is "partial 16S ribosomal RNA". It matches the Rfam family "Bacterial small subunit ribosomal RNA", at positions 524 to 776 of the family's 1533-position model. The record is from RNAcentral.